CGUUCCCCCCGGGUUCUUGAGCGAGCGCGCCGGGCCGCCGAGCCGGGCUGAGACGCGGGAGCCGGGGCUGCGCGGCGGGCUGCGGAGCCCUGGAGAGUCAUUGAAGAAGGAAAAGAGGAAGCACACUGGAUGAGUUAAGUAGAACUGAGCGCAUGGAAGGCCACAUUAGGAAGUAGGAAUUGUUGAGCAGCGGGCAAGAGAAGCAUGCUAUGUUUCAGCAGAAGCAGGAGAGUUUUUCUGUUCUGUGGAAGGAGUCUAAUGGAGCACCAGUCCAGAGGGAAGAGCUGAGCCAGCAGCCUGUGGUCUGAGGGAGGUUGCCUGGGAACUGCUGACAGUGAGGUGUGUCAAAAUCAAAACAAGAUGUGGGAUGCCAGUACUGUUCAUGCAGCUGCCUGCACCCUAGGGUUCCAGGAGUCCCUGGAGUACAGAAGGAUGCAGAAUCUGGGCAUUGGACCCUGUGCUGACAAGGAGCCUCCCAUUCUUGGAGCACCACAAUAUACAUGCAAAUGAGAAGUUGGGAGGCUACCUGGAUAGGAAGGAGCAAGGUAGAAGGAGGAAGCAGCAUCCUUUUCCGGAGAGGCAGCUUGUACUCUUUCAUUUCCAUGACUAGCCAAGUAAACGUCUUCAAGUCUCCUUCAUUAGAAUGACUUAAUCCUUCAAAUAGUUAAAACAAAAAGGAUGUGAGGAAGAUACACAACCUUCCAGAGACACCAAAGCUGUACUUUUGGACCUUGACUCACAUGUCUGAAGCCAUGGAGUGCUCACAGUUUAGAAGUUGGAAGUUUGUUUUCUGUGUUCAAGGGUUGUUAUAAGGGAGAUAGGGAUUGAUAUACUGAACAAAAUUGAAUCUUAUUCUUCCAUAUUUGCUAACAUAUGUUUUUAAAGAACAGAUAUUACUCACAUUUUCCAGAUAAUGGGAAGACAUUUUUAGUCAGAAGGAAGCAUAAUACUUCAGAUAGUUUAGGUCAGUGGUUCCCUGCUAAAAAGGUGUAGCAGAAACUUUAAUUGCCAGUAUACAUACUAACAAUUUCCCAUCUUUUGAACAAGAGUUACAGAAUCAAUGAGGGGAAAUGAAAUUCAGGUAUGUAGUUAGAAGACACCAACUAAAUAAUCUUAUCUUUUCUCAACCCUCUAGAUUUGAAAAUUAUGGUUCCAGUUGAAGUACUGGUCAACAGCAAAAAAAUCCUAAAUCAUUAAAAACAACUAUUUAACACAGAACCUCACCUAGAGGGGCAAAGUUAUCCAGCAUCCAUUUGACUAAAUCGAUUUUUGCUUUCAUAUGAAUUUUUGUUGUGCCUGUGUCUUGCUGAAACACCUGUACAUAUAGACUAUGUAGUAUACAAGUAUGUGAUACUUGUUAAAUGCUCUUGCAUUUUUGAGCUCUUGAUCUAUGAUCUUAGUCUUUCGUGUUUUAGGGAUUUCUUUUUUUCAUGUUUAUUUGUAAAGUGUUGUGUAAAAGGCUAGAGUAGUUCUAAAGUUUGAUUACUCCAAAUAAGAUUGUUAUUGGAAGUUUUUUGCGUAGUAUAUACCAAGCAAUUACCGUCUAUCAUUUUUAAUUUAAGGUUAUUACUCAAAAGUUGACUGAUUCUAAGGCAACUAGGAGACCCUUCACUUUGAGAAAAAUUUGAGUGAAAAUACUUUCUUUUUGUAAACAGCUCCUGAUGUACAAUAUCCUCUGGGUGCCAGUUCUGGAAUUUAUGUUUUAAUUAAAGAGCACCCUGCCUCUUUAUUUGUGGGCCACUUAAAUAAGUGGGUGUCUUGGUGAGAAGUUCAGGAGGUUGGUGGUUGUAGCUGAGUUUAGGAUUGACUCAGCUCUGGGCAGCAGUGGUAUAUGAAUGCCAAGUGCUAAGAAUGUUUGGAAUGUAGACUUGCCAGCACUGAUAGAGUUUGCUUUGUUCCCCUGUGUGACUUGACCCAUUGAGAAAUUGUGGUUCCCUAGGAAGUUUUAAUAGUUCAAAAUGUUUAGUUAAUAAAGAAAAUGGCCACAACAUUAUUCAGCUUGUUUUCACCUGCUGCCUCAAAGAUUAACUUUCUUAGCCAUAAUGGGAUAGAACUACCCCUUGCUUUGAAAAAGAAAUUUAUGGAGCUCAUCACAUUUGUUAGUUUCCACAAACAUGAAGCUCUCUGUGGGGAUUUUUUUUUUAUCAUAAAAUCCCUAAGGCGUUGACAACUUAACAUUGUGGUAACUUCAUCUAAAACCAAAUCUCAGGGAAAGGCACACCUACUUUUCUGUAUCAGCUUCAUCUUUCACUAGACUCAGAAGGGUUUUGAAUUACUUCAGGAAAAGUAGUGACUGAUAGAGCUUAACCUUCCGUUUUCCUCAUUUAUUUUCAUUAGAGAAUGGGAGUGGAAUUCAGAACAUUCAGAUGUGGAGUUAAUGUGCGUCACUGCUGCCAGCCCCUGCUGCCAGCGAUAGGUUCUGUGUUUUUCCAGUGGGAAACUCUGAUCCACAGAGAUGCUUGCAGACCUGCACCUCCUUGCUCUUUUCUGCUUUUCUCCUGAUUGUUGUUUACUCUUUGAAACAUCAGCUGACUGUACAGAGCCUCUGUGGAAGCAGAUUUCAGAACAAAGGUGAUCUGUAAAAGCAGCACGUAAGUCUUGUUUCUGUCUGUCUGUUUCCCUACUUUGGUGCUUAGUGUUGAAUGUUGAAUGCUCUGUACAUAAUUAAAGCAUUUUCCUGGUUACAUUUUCUCAAAGAA
Mastomys coucha (southern multimammate mouse) is the source of this 2699-nucleotide long non-coding RNA. RefSeq lists it as uncharacterized. NCBI's taxonomy places the organism in Eukaryota, Metazoa, Chordata, Mammalia, Rodentia, Muridae. The record is from RefSeq and is a predicted model, not a curated record. The transcript is spliced from 4 exons.